GAUGAACGCUAGCUACAGGCUUAACACAUGCAAGUCGAGGGACUGGCGCACGGGCGAGUAACACGUCUCCAACCUGCCCUUUACUCGGUGCUAGCCUUUCGAAAGAAAGAUUAAUACCCGAUAUAAAGGAUGGGGAUGCGUUCCAUUAGGUUGUUGGUAAGGUAACGGCUCACCAAGCCUUCGAUGGGUCGGGAUUCUGAGAGGCAGGUCCCCCACAGUGGAACUGAGACACGAGCCAAACUGCUACGUGAGGCAUCAGUGAGGAAUAUUGGGCAAUGAGCGCUAGCCUGAACCAGCCAAGUAGCGUGAAGGAUGAAUGAUUAUGGGUCGUAAACUUCUUUUAAGUAAGAAUAUGUAUUAUAUGAAUAAGGAUCGGCUAACUCCGUGCCAGCAGCCGCGGUAAUUC
RNAcentral lists this ribosomal RNA (406 nucleotides) under uncultured bacterium. RNAcentral's name for it is "partial 16S ribosomal RNA". It matches the Rfam family "Bacterial small subunit ribosomal RNA", at positions 28 to 526 of the family's 1533-position model. The record is from RNAcentral.